CUCUCAACGCCAAAACAACAAAUGCACAGAAGUGACCUUGAAGACUAAGUCGAGAGUAUUACUUACCUACUGUAUGUUUUCAAUAAGAGUAGUUUCUGUUUUUGAAGUUUUCCCUGAUGUUCCCGUGUCACAAUACAAAAUAUAAUAUAGGUAUCUAAGAAAAAAUAUAAGAAAUCAGUGAAAUAUAUAACAUGAAAAUGAGACAUGUAAAAGACGGGAAGAAAAGAAGAGAAAAAAAUAAGAAAAAAAGUACCUU
Paramuricea clavata is the source of this 256-nucleotide non-coding RNA. NCBI's taxonomy places the organism in Eukaryota, Metazoa, Cnidaria, Anthozoa, Malacalcyonacea, Plexauridae. The record is from the annotation of a GenBank genome assembly.